UGCAGUCGAGCGAACUGAUUAGAAGCUUGCUUCUAUGACGUUAGCGGCGGACGGGUGAGUAACACGUGGGCAACCUGCCUGUAAGACUGGGAUAACUCCGGGAAACCGGAGCUAAUACCGGAUAACAUUUUCUCUUGCAUAAGAGAAAAUUGAAAGAUGGUUUCGGCUAUCACUUACAGAUGGGCCCGCGGUGCAUUAGCUAGUUGGUGAGGUAACGGCUCACCAAGGCAACGAUGCAUAGCCGACCUGAGAGGGUGAUCGGCCACACUGGGACUGAGACACGGCCCAGACUCCUACGGGAGGCAGCAGUAGGGAAUCUUCCGCAAUGGACGAAAGUCUGACGGAGCAACGCCGCGUGAGUGAUGAAGGCUUUCGGGUCGUAAAACUCUGUUGUUAGGGAAGAACAAGUACAAGAGUAACUGCUUGUACCUUGACGGUACCUAACCAGAAAGCCACGGCUAACUACGUGCCAGCAGCCGCGGUAAUACGUAGGUGGCAAGCGUUAUCCGGAAUUAUUGGGCGUAAAGCGCGCGCAGGCGGUUUCUUAAGUCUGAUGUGAA
Molecule: ribosomal RNA, 560 nt
Filed under: Priestia flexa
Lineage: Bacteria; Bacillati; Bacillota; Bacilli; Caryophanales; Bacillaceae
Description: bacterial SSU rRNA
Rfam family: Bacterial small subunit ribosomal RNA
Source: RNAcentral